UCACUGCAGGUUCACUCCACAUGGAAUCUCUGUACUUUUAUGACAUGUACAGUUGGUUGUAAUGCCAUACUGGGUAUCAUGUAUAACAUCAAAGAGCUAAGUAAGUAUAAAGUGUAUCUGAAAAGUGCCCAUCUCUGAGGUGGACAGAUGCCAGUGGGGACAUCACGUAUCGUGUAACAUAUUUCAGCUCGAGGCUCAGAAAUGUCACAGGAUCCACAGAAUCCUUGAAGAACAGAGAGG
This 240-nucleotide long non-coding RNA is filed under the name Zonotrichia albicollis (white-throated sparrow). Its description in RNAcentral is "lncRNA (ENSZALG00000012025.1)". Lineage: Eukaryota; Metazoa; Chordata; Aves; Passeriformes; Passerellidae. The record is from RNAcentral.